AGAGUUUGAUCAUGGCUCAGAACGAACGCUGGCGGCGUGGAUUAGGCAUGCAAGUCGAACGAGAAGCCAGAGCUUCAAUCCUUCGGGAGAGAAGCUUUGGUGGACAGUGGCGAAAGGGUGAGUAUCGCGUGGGCAAUCUGCCUCAAAGUCGGGGAUAGCUUCUGGAAACGGGAGGUAAUACCGGAUGUGGUCGCCCCGGGAAUCCGGGGCUGUCUAAAGGUGGGGAUCUUCGGACCUGCCGCUUAGAGAUGAGCCCGCGUCCCAUCAGCUUGUUGGUAGGGUAACGGCCUACCAAGGCCGAGACGGGUAGCUGGUCUGAGAGGAUGGUCAGCCACACUGGGACUGAGACACUGCCCAGACUCCUACGGGAGGCUGCAGUCGAGAAUCAUUCGCAAUGCACGAAAGUGCGACGAUGCGACGCCGCGUGCAGGAUGACGGCCUUCGGGUUGUAAACUGCUGUCAUGAGGGAAAAACGACUCGGGUGUUAAUACCACCUGGGUGUGAUGGUACCUCAAGAGGAAGCCACGGCUAACUCUGUGCCAGCAGCCGCGGUAAUACAGAGGUGGCGAGCGUUGUUCGGAUUUACUGGGCGUAAAGGGUGCGUAGGCGGCGUCGUGUGUCGGAUGUGAAAUCUCAGGGCUCAACCCUGAACCUGCAUCCGAAACUGCGGUGCUAGAGUGCUGGAGAGGUGAGCGAAAUUCUCGGUGUAACGGUGAAAUGUGUAGAUAUCGAGAGGAACGCCGGUGGCGAAGGCGGCUCACUGGACAGAUACUGACGCUGAGGCACGAAAGCUGGGGUAGCGAACAGGAUUAGAUACCCUGGUAGUCCCAGCCGUAAACGUUGUGCACUUGGUGUGGGGGGAAUUAUCCCCCUCCGCGCCGGAGCUAACGCGUUAAGUGCACCGCCUGGGGAGUACGGUCGCAAGACUAAAACUCAAAGGAAUUGACGGGGGCCCGCACAAGCGGUGGAGCAUGUGGCUUAAUUCGAUGCAACGCGAAGAACCUUACCGGGGUUUGACAUGCCCGUCGUACCUUUACGAAAGUAGAGGGUCAGUUCGGCUGGACGGUGCACAGGUGCUGCAUGGCUGUCGUC
Molecule: ribosomal RNA, 1092 nt
Filed under: uncultured bacterium
Lineage: Bacteria
Description: bacterial SSU rRNA
Rfam family: Bacterial small subunit ribosomal RNA
Source: RNAcentral